RNAcentral lists this long non-coding RNA (488 nucleotides) under Amborella trichopoda. Its description in RNAcentral is "long non-coding RNA (ATRI_LNC004856)". The record is from RNAcentral. Lineage: Eukaryota; Viridiplantae; Streptophyta; Magnoliopsida; Amborellales; Amborellaceae.
AGACCACCCAACAAAUCAACACAAGCCCCCAAUUUUAAGGCAUCAAUGGGACAUGUCGCAGAAGCUGGAGGUGGUGGGCAUCCUGGCCCUCCAGUAUAGGGUGGCGGUCCACCAAUAAUUGGAGUGACAACAGGUGGGAGUUCGAUCGGUGGCUUUGUGAUGGGGGGAACGGUAACGGGAGGGAGCUCGAUCGGUGGCUUUACAAUGGGAGGAACGGUAACGGGAGGGAGAUUGAUUGGUGGCUUUACAACGGGGGGAACGGUAACGGGAGGGAGAUUGAUGGGUGGCUUUACAACAGGGGGAACGGUAACCGGAGGUUUGAUGACCGGGGGCUUAACGAUGACCGGAGGGGGUUUGAAGGGGGGCUUUACAACAGGGGGAACGGUAACCGGAGGUUUGAUGACCGGGGGCUUAACGAUGACCGGAGGGGGUUUGAAGGGGGGCUUAACGAUGACGGGUGGGUAUGUUUUCGGGGGUUUGUAUUUGGG